UGUACUGAGGAGGCUAGGGCAAGGGACGCUGGUGGCCAGUGCUCUCUGGACUAAGAGAAAGCAUCCCGUUGUCCUUAUGACAACACAAUGGAUGAUUAAGCCUUCAUGUGCCUUUCAGAAAGUCAAGGGUGUAAGGAACCAUUCUGGUCACUCUUGUUUUGAUUCUGUGGUGGACCUUGUGGACUGAGUCAUUAAACAAGGGUGCCGAUCCCCUCCUUCCAUGCCCUGUGGUAGUUGGUCUCUGGAAAAAACCGAAAUCUACAUUUCCCAGACACCCUUGCAGCUAGGUUUCUGUGGGUGGUCUCAGCUGCUCUAGAUAGAUGCCUGCCCAAGGUAUAGAAGGUGGAAGUGAGCAACACAGAGUGGUGGACAGAUGAGGCGCCCCAGCUGGCAGGGAACAGAAAGGUCUGGUUCCCCCACAGCAGCUGGCUCCAGUGUUUGGGCCUGAGCAUCACAGACAGUGGUGUUUCCGUGGCAAUAGUCUCAGGCAGGGUUAGCUGAUUGUCCAGGCUAUGCUGUCCCUGGCCAUGACGCAUCAAAGUUUAUUCCCCUGGUAGUUCUGGAAUCUCAAUCCGAACACCCAGGAAUAAAUUCCACUCUGCUCAAACCAGAAAGAGUGGAUUCUGGUGUUUGCGACUAAUCACUGCGACUGGAUACAAAUUCAGAUUCUGAAAUCACCUCUAUUGUGUUUUCUCGUGUGGAAGAAAUACAGAAAAGCUUAAGAAAAACAAGUAUAAAUCAUCUGCAAUCCCACCACCUGGAGCUUGUGGUGGUGUCUGCACAUAUAAAGAAGUAGCCACCUCUUCCAGUAUUUAUGGACAGGAUUUGGGAAGAAAAGACCUUCAUCAGACAGCCUGCCUAAAGAUUCAGGAGAUCUCUCAAACCUUUUCUAUGGACCACUCCACUUCCACUACAUUCUGGGGAGCUGCUCUCCGAUGAUCCAAGCCAUACCAAUUUCCUCAGUGCUCUAAUGUGCCAAGUUUGACUGAUGCUGGAUUUUGUGGUCCACUGGGGUGCUGAUACCUUCAACUGAACUCCAGAGCUCUCAAAAAGUAACGGAUCCAAGGCUGGACAUGUGACCUGGGCCCAGCAAACCCAUGCCAGGACUUGCCACAGAACUUUUGUGAACGAGAACCUCUCUUCCCUUGGGGAGCUGUUGGGGCUACCACCCGCAACAAACUGACUAGACAGUGAGGCCAACAUGGAAAGCAGAGGGCGAAGGUAACUCCUGAUGACACAACGUGAGUCGCUGGGUAAAACCGGACCCGAUGCUGUUUUGACUUGGAUGGGAGUGGACUACAGGGAGCUGGGACCAAAGCCAGCAAAGCAACACACGAGCUUGAGCACUGAUGUUCGUGCAUGUCAGUGUGUUCAGCAUAAACUAUGGAGGGAAGAGGACUCCAGAAAGAGAACCCCCAAGAGUGUGCAUGCACACAUCACGCUCACAGUUCAGGCCACAACAGUGCGGGUCAUGGCAGGGGGCUGGGAGGACCUACAGUCAACAGAGGAAGGUCUGCUCUAGCUGAAUAGGAGGCUUUACCACAUUGUUGGCAUCUCUGUAUGAUACGCAAUUAGCUUUGAAACAAGGAUAAAAAUAAGGCAUCAGUCAGCUAUAAAGUAGCUUAAUGGGUGCAUGAAUCGAAACAACAUUUAAAUAUGGUACAGCAGCCUAUUUGGAGCCUUUAAAAAGCCUCGUGCUGUUGAUCUCUCCCCAAGGAGGAAAUCCUUGGUGUUGCUGCCCUCUCUUUCUUAUGCAUGAACAGGGCCUUCAAAUGCAUCAUCUCCUGGGAUCCACGGAGGGACAGGUGGCUGGGUCAAGGUCACACAGGCUACUGAGGCACAGCAGACCUGCGGACAAAGGUCUUCCUACUACAACCCCGGGUUUGACGCAUCACCAGAGGCAGGUUUCCUCAGGAGCCACGGAGGCUGAAGCCGAAGGGCCCUCACUUGUGUGACCCUUUCUUUGAUCUGACACGUAAUUCUGGGUUCUUUUUCUUAAAAAGUGCCACCCAAAAAUAUAUAAGUUCUACGCUCUAGGCCCACAAGGCAUGGAUCAGCCCCAAUCCCCAGCCACACCCGAGGCUGUUUUCUCACUCCUUUCUCCCCAUCUUUCAAGAACCCCAAACCCACAGGGCGUUGUCACAGACUUGAAAUAGCUACUCAAAGCCUCUGCAGCCAGAACGUCUCUGCUCGUCCUUAUCUGCAGUUUCCUCCCCAUUACUGAUGAUUUAGACACUUGUUAUGUAAAUGACAUCUACAGAGACCCAUUCUGUGAAAUGCUUACAGGACUCUUUUAACGUCUUCAUCAUUUUAAAAAUAAAACCAAAUCCUCCUGCU
Herpailurus yagouaroundi (jaguarundi) is the source of this 2337-nucleotide long non-coding RNA. RefSeq lists it as uncharacterized. Lineage: Eukaryota; Metazoa; Chordata; Mammalia; Carnivora; Felidae. The record is from RefSeq and is a predicted model, not a curated record. The transcript is spliced from 5 exons.